GACGAACGCUGGCGGCGUGCUUAACACAUGCAAGUCGAACGGAAAGGCCCUGCUUUUGUGGGGUGCUCGAGUGGCGAACGGGUGAGUAACACGUGAGUAACCUGCCCUUGACUUUGUGAUAACUUCAGGAAACUGGGGCUAAUACCGGAUAGGAGCUCCUGCUGCAUGGUGGGGGUUGGAAAGUUUCGGCGGUUGGGGAUGGACUCGCGGCUUAUCAGCUUGUUGGUGGGGUAGUGGCUUACCAAGGCUUUGACGGGUAGCCGGCCUGAGAGGGUGACCGGCCACAUUGGGACUGAGAUACGGACCAGACUCCUACGGGAGGCAGCAGUGGGGAAUAUUGCACAAUGGGCGGAAGCCUGAUGCAGCAACGCCGCGUGCGGGAUGACGGCCUUCGGGUUGUAAACCGCUUUAGCCUGUGACGAAGCGUGAGUGACGGUAAUGGGUAAAGAAGCACCGGCUAACUACGUG
RNAcentral lists this ribosomal RNA (468 nucleotides) under uncultured bacterium. Its description in RNAcentral is "partial 16S ribosomal RNA". It matches the Rfam family "Bacterial small subunit ribosomal RNA", at positions 28 to 507 of the family's 1533-position model. The record is from RNAcentral.